This 477-nucleotide ribosomal RNA is filed under the name uncultured bacterium. Its description in RNAcentral is "partial 16S ribosomal RNA". It matches the Rfam family "Bacterial small subunit ribosomal RNA", at positions 30 to 507 of the family's 1533-position model. The record is from RNAcentral.
AUUGAACGCUGGCGGCAUGCCUUACACAUGCAAGUCGAACGGUAACAGGUUAAGCUGCCGAGUGGCGAACGGGUGAGUAAUGUAUCGGAACGUGCCCAGUCGUGGGGGAUAACUGCUCGAAAGAGCAGCUAAUACCGCAUACGACCUGAGGGUGAAAGCGGGGGGUCGCAAAUCCUCGCGCGAUUGGAGCGCCGGAUAUCAGAUUAGGUAGUUGGUGAGGUAAAGGCUCACCAAGCCGACGAUCUGUAGCUGGUCUGAGAGGACGACCAGCCACACUGGAACUGAGACACGGCCCAGACUCCUACGGGAGGCAGCAGUGGGGAAUUUUGGACAAUGGGCGCAAGCCUGAUCCAGCCAUGCCGCGUGCGGGAAGAAGGCCUUCGGGUUGUAAACCGCUUUUGUCAGGGAAGAAAAGGUUCUGGCUAAUACCUGGGACUCAUGACGGUACCUGAAGAAUAAGCACCGGCUAACUACGUG